Molecule: ribosomal RNA, 145 nt
Filed under: Scedosporium boydii
Lineage: Eukaryota; Fungi; Ascomycota; Sordariomycetes; Microascales; Microascaceae
Description: partial 18S ribosomal RNA
Rfam family: Eukaryotic small subunit ribosomal RNA
Source: RNAcentral
CGAUGAAUGCUCAGUGAGGCUCCGGACUGGCCCAGAGAGGUGGGCAACUACCACUCAGGGCCGGAAAGUUGUCCAAACUCGGUCAUUUAGAGGAAGUAAAAGUCGUAACAAGGUCUCCGUUGGUGAACCAGCGGAGGGAUCAUUA